GGAAGAGCCAACUACUUCAAAUAAGAUAAUAACAGAAGAGUGACCAAGAUGACUUCUGGAUGAGAAUUUUUAUUUCUAUCCUCCCAAUUUUUGUUUGACAGACUUUCUGUUUUAUAGGUUUCCUCAUAUUAAACAACAGUGUUUCAGAAAAGAUAAGUGGUAAAACCAGCGUGAAGAGACAGACAAAAAAAUAGGUUUUUAAACUUCGAAAAGUUGCAAAAAGUUGCAAUAAGAAGUUUGUUUAAGACUAAAGAUAGACUUCAUAAAACAUAUCAAGAGAUUUUGGUGGGGCUUGGCUGCAGGCAUGGAAGUUGAGCUCAUUAGGAAAAAAAAAAUGCUCCUUGUUGGGAUAUAUAGAAGAGGGACUGAAGAAGCUUUAAGAUUAUAUUGGAGUGAAGUUGGUGUUUUGCUUUCAGAAAAUGAUGAUGAUUAUAAUUUGCAUUUUGAAUAAUUACUCCAUAUAGGCAGAACUCCUGUGCCAGGAAAGGCAGUCUUAUGUAUCUUUUCAUCCCCAAUCGGCCAUAGAAGAAUGGGUCUUGGUCCUGGUACACUUCAUUAUCAAGUGAUACAUAGUCUGUGAUGAACUUAUCACCUUGAGCAGGAAUGUCUUUCCCUGUUUCAAGCUCAAUGUGCACUCCCUUGUUCUGCUUAAGCACGUGCCUCAGGGCUUCUGACUUACCCCUAGCUUUCAGUAUUUUAUAUUCCACAGAGUGGGAGAGAUUUCUUCCACUGCAGCACUAGAGGUGUGCUUGUAAGCAAAUCGCCCUGCUUGGGCUCCCAGGGAACCCACUAGCCCUGAUGGACCAGUGCAGACUAUUGGAGCAGAUGUUGUUCUGCCUCUACAUGUAAGUAAAGCCUUGGUCCAACCAGUGAUUAAUCAUGUAGUGUUUUCCUUGGGAACUCUGAUACCAAGAGUCCGUUCCUGGAACUGACAACUGAGUCCACAGUGGACUGCUCAACAACUAGAUUGUUAUAUUUGCUAUAUAAUUUAAUGCAGUCUUCAAAAUACCCCUAUUGUUAGGCAUCUUAUCAACAUUUUAGAAACAGGAAAACAUGUUUCGAAGAAACGAAGUAACUUUGCAAACUUUAUUACAGAGUAAAUGAUAAAAUUGUAAUCAGCUCUGUCUUAACACAAAUCAUGGAUUUUCUUUACUAUGCUGUCAAGGUUAAUCAUCAUUAGAAUGUUGGCCCAGGCUUUCUUUUCUAGUCCAUAGAAAUUCCUCAUAUAAUAUUAAGACAUAAACAUAUUUUAAAAAUAUAUAAUACUGGUUUUCCCCUGGGUCAAAUUGUGUCUGGAAUUGUGUCUGGUUCUUGGUCUUGCUGACUUCAAGAAUGAAGCCGCAGACCCUCACGGUGUUACAGUUCUUAAAGAUGGUGUGUCUGGAGUUUGUUCCUUCAGAUGUGUCCAGAGUUUUUUCCUUCUGGUGGGUUCCUGGUCUCGCUGACUUCAGGAGUGAAGCUGCAGACCUUCACGGUGGGUGUUACAGCUCUUAAAGGCGACGCAUCUGGAGUUGUUCCUUCCUUCUGGUGGGUUCGUGGUCUCGCUGACCUCAGGAGCGAAGCUGCAGACCUUCGUGGUGAGUGUUACAGUUCAUAAAGGUGGCGCGUCCGGAGUUGUUUGUUUCUCCUGUCCGGAGUUGUUCGUCCCUCCCGGUGGGUUUGGGGUCUCGCUGGCUUCAGGAGUGAAGCUGCAGACCUUCACAGUGAGUGUUACAGUUCAUAAAGGUGGUGUGGACCCAAACAGUGAGCAGCAGCAAGAUUUAUUGCAAAGAGUGAAAGAACAAAGCUUCCACACUGUGGAAGGUGACCCAAGCAGGUUGCCGCUGCUGUCCCAGGUGGCCUGCUUUUAUUCUCUUAUCUGGCCCCUCCCACAUCCUGCUGAUUGUUCCAUUUUACAGAGAGCUGAUUGUUCCAUUUUACAGAGAGCUGAUUGGUCCGUUUCACAGAGAGCUGAUUGGUCCAUUUUGACAGAGUGCUGAUUGGUGCAUUUACAAUCUUUUAGCAAGACACAGAGUGCUGAUUGGUACGUUUACAAUCCUUUAGCCAGACACAAAAGUUCUCCAAGUCCCUACCAGAUUAGCUAGACACAGAGCACUGAUUGGUGCACUUACAAACCUUUAGCUACACACAGAGUGCUGAUUGGUGCGUUUACAAUCCUUUAGCUAGACACAAAAGUUCUCCAAGUCCCCACCAGAUUAGCUAGACACAGAGUGCUGAUUGGUGUGUUUACAAUCCUUUAGCUAGACACAGAGUGCUGAUUGGUGCAUUUACAAUGCAUUAACUAGACAGAAAAGUUAUCCAAGUCCCCACCUGACCCAGAAGCCCAGCCGGCUUCACCUCUCG
Molecule: long non-coding RNA, 2343 nt
Filed under: Homo sapiens (human)
Lineage: Eukaryota; Metazoa; Chordata; Mammalia; Primates; Hominidae
Description: HSALNT0373552
Source: RNAcentral